RNAcentral lists this ribosomal RNA (443 nucleotides) under uncultured bacterium. RNAcentral's name for it is "partial 16S ribosomal RNA". It matches the Rfam family "Bacterial small subunit ribosomal RNA", at positions 28 to 507 of the family's 1533-position model. The record is from RNAcentral.
GAUGAACGCUGGCGGCAUGCCUAACACAUGCAAGUCGAUCGGUAAGGCUCUUCGGAGUACACGAGAGGCGGACGGCUGAGUAACGCGUAGGAACACACCCUGCAGUGAGGGAUAAGACACCGAAAGGUGUUCUAAUACCGCAUACGGUCUUCGGAUUAAAGCAUUUAUGCGCUGAAGGAGUGGCCUGCGUCAUAUUAGAUAGUUGGUGAGGUAAUGGCUCACCAAGUCGAUGAUGUGUAGCUGGUCUGAGAGGAUGAUCAGCCAGACUGGAACUGAGACACGGUCCAGACUCCUACGGGAGGCAGCAGUGAGGAAUAUUUCACAAUGAGCGAAAGCUUGAUGGAGCAAUGCCGCGUGCAGGAUGAAGGCCCUCGGGUUGUAAACUGCUUUUAUAAGAGAAGAUUAUGACGGUAACUUAUGAAUAAGGGACGGCUAACUGCGUG